CUCAAUGAAAUUCAAUAGCCGCAAUAUUGUGCUAAGGUAGCAUAAUCAUUUGUUUUUUAAUUAAAAACCAGAACGAAAGAUUUAAUAUUUUCAUUUCUAUCUUACAUAUAAAUAUUAAAUUUAUUUUAAAUAUUAAAAAAUAUUUAUCCUUUAAAAAGACGACAAGACCCUAUUGAACUUUACUAAAGUUUAACUGGGGCAGUAAAUUAAUUAAUAUUUUAAUUUCAAUUUUAAAACAAUCUAAUAUAAAUAAAUAAUCAAGUUACCAUAGGGAUAACAGCGUAAUAAUUUUCCAAAGAUCUUAUUUAAAAAUUAGUUUACGACCUCGAUGUUGAAUUAAUAAUCUAUUAAAUGCAAUAAUUAAAAAGAAAGUC
Molecule: ribosomal RNA, 374 nt
Filed under: Coelotinae sp. ZZ550
Lineage: Eukaryota; Metazoa; Arthropoda; Arachnida; Araneae; Agelenidae
Description: partial 16S ribosomal RNA
Source: RNAcentral